AAGGAAAAAGUGAAGCUGCCAGCAUGAUCUAGCUUUGGUUAGAGAGCUGAAGAAGAGUGUUAAAUGCUAACCCUUACUAGGUCAUGCUGUAACAGCCUCACUCCUUCCUA
Molecule: microRNA precursor, 110 nt
Filed under: Glycine max (soybean)
Lineage: Eukaryota; Viridiplantae; Streptophyta; Magnoliopsida; Fabales; Fabaceae
Description: miR167l stem-loop (gma-MIR167l)
Gene: gma-MIR167l
Rfam family: MIR167 microRNA precursor family
Source: miRBase by way of RNAcentral